UGCCGAUGUCGUACACGGGCAGCAGGUGCACGUCGGUCAGGCCGGCCGUGGCCAGCGCCUUCAGGUGCUUCAUGCCGUUCGAGCCGGCUUCGGUGA
RNAcentral lists this transfer RNA (96 nucleotides) under Rhizobacter gummiphilus. RNAcentral describes it as "tRNA-Leu". The record is from RNAcentral. Lineage: Bacteria; Pseudomonadati; Pseudomonadota; Betaproteobacteria; Burkholderiales; Sphaerotilaceae.